RNAcentral lists this ribosomal RNA (301 nucleotides) under uncultured bacterium. RNAcentral's name for it is "partial 16S ribosomal RNA". It matches the Rfam family "Bacterial small subunit ribosomal RNA", at positions 509 to 807 of the family's 1533-position model. The record is from RNAcentral.
CAGUAGCCGCGGUAAUACGAAGGGUGCAAGCGUUAAUCGGAAUUACUGGGCGUAAAGCGUGCGUAGGCGGUUUGUUAAGUCUGCUGUGAAAUCCCCGGGCUCAACCUGGGAAUGGCAGUGGAUACUGGCAAGCUAGAGUGUGUCAGAGGAUGAUGGAAUUCCCGGUGUAGCGGUGAAAUGCGUAGAGAUCGGGAGGAACAUCAGUGGCGAAGGCGGCCAUCUGGGACAACACUGACGCUGAGGCACGAAAGCGUGGGGAGCAAACAGGAUUAGAUACCCGUGUAGUCCCUGUCUCUUAUAC